AAAGCGUGCGCAGGCGGCUUUGCAAGACAGAUGUGAAAUCCCCGGGCUCAACCUGGGAACUGCAUUUGUGACUGCAAGGCUAGAGUACGGCAGAGGGGGAUGGAAUUCCGCGUGUAGCAGUGAAAUGCGUAGAUAUGCGGAGGAACACCGAUGGCGAAGGCAAUCCCCUGGGCCUGUACUGACGCUCAUGCACGAAAGCGUGGGGAGCAAACAGGAUUAGAUACCCUGGU
This 230-nucleotide ribosomal RNA is filed under the name uncultured bacterium. RNAcentral describes it as "partial 16S ribosomal RNA". It matches the Rfam family "Bacterial small subunit ribosomal RNA", at positions 562 to 791 of the family's 1533-position model. The record is from RNAcentral.